GCCUGAGUGGCUCAGUUGGUUGAGUGUCUGACUUCAGCUCAGGUCAUGAUCUCAUGGUGCGUGAGUUCAAGCCCCGUGUCAGGCU
This 85-nucleotide transfer RNA is filed under the name Felis catus (domestic cat). It matches the Rfam family "tRNA". From Rfam's summary of the family: Transfer RNA (tRNA) molecules are approximately 80 nucleotides in length. The record is from Rfam by way of RNAcentral. Lineage: Eukaryota; Metazoa; Chordata; Mammalia; Carnivora; Felidae.